Molecule: non-coding RNA, 118 nt
Organism: Thiothrix eikelboomii
Lineage: Bacteria; Pseudomonadati; Pseudomonadota; Gammaproteobacteria; Thiotrichales; Thiotrichaceae
Source: Rfam
GGUUUAGGCUGCUACAAUAGCCGCCUUUUUAGCAACCUAACUUAAUCUGGAGCUUUGGACGAUGUCUCUGAAUGCAGAACAAAAAGCGGCAAUCGUAGCUGAUUAUCGCCAGUCAGAU